This 1863-nucleotide long non-coding RNA is filed under the name Elaeis guineensis (African oil palm). RNAcentral's name for it is "long non-coding RNA (EGUI_LNC002644)". Lineage: Eukaryota; Viridiplantae; Streptophyta; Magnoliopsida; Arecales; Arecaceae. The record is from RNAcentral.
GACGACGACCCAGUCGGAGAAGAAGGAGUCGGUGGAGCUGCUCCGCAUCCUGGGGCGGACGCUGGUCUCGCCGCCGGUGGCGGGAUCCAUGGGCUACGAGUCUUCUUCUCUCUUCGAACGUGGUUAGCUACUUUAGUUUGAGAGAAUAUUUAUUACAUCUGUGGAUUUUUUUUUGUUUCGCAGGGGGACUUAUUUCUUCGGGGGCAAGGCACGUAAUUGGAUGAAUGAAUACCGUAGGAUCUUGAUCUGAGGGUAGGUACUGCUAGACGAGAAAUUAAUUAAUUAAUGUGUUACACUUUGUGUGGGAGAGGGGGAAGGAAGUUUUUUCACGAAAAAAGUGGAAAGAAAGUGGAAGAAACGGGGAAAAAAUAAAUUUAUUAAAAUCUAUAAUCCCCCCUAAUAAUAAAAAAUUAAAUUAAUAUUAUAGUUAAAUUUUAAAAUUUAUUUUAUAUUUAUUUCAGAAUAAAAAAAUUUUCUUAUUCAGUCGCUCUAAAUCUCCCACUGAUUCAUAUUUUUAAGAAUAAAAAAUUUAAAAAAAUUAAAAAAAAUAAAAAAAUAAAAAAAUUGAAAGAUAAUGCUUUUUCUCACAUAGAUUAUUAUUUUUUUAUAUUUUAUUUGCAUUUCAUUCCCUUUUCUAGGUAAAAGAAGAAGUCUGUUUUUUUUCUGAUUUCAAAUUUUUUUUCUUUUUAUCAAUAAUAUGCAAAAAGAAGCAGAAAAGAUGUCUUGAUUAGCAAGCUAAUAGUUAGUAUUUUUUCUAUCUUUUGUGGUCAAUAUUUUCUUCAUAUAUGAUCAUGUAUUUUUUAAGAUCUCUGUACUGAUGUGGAAUAGCAGGUUCUUCAUUAUUCCAAUAUCUUUUUGUUUAGAGGAGAUCAAUAAUUUUGCAAGUUAUCUUAACAAUUCAUACAAUGUCUACAGGAUACUUUACUAGGAUAGCAUGUUUAUUAUAGAAUCAAUAUAUCUUUAUUUUCUUACCAGUGCCAUUAUUCUAAUAAGAAAAAGAUGUCAUCAGUUCAGUUUUUAUUUAUUUAUUAUAAAAAAAUAAAUAUGUUGAAAUUUUGAUCCAAAACAUCCAAUAUCACUCGGCUUCCUAUUUUGCAUGAACUAAAGCUCCUGUGCCAGCUUAAGCACAAGUCAUGAGCCGGCCAAAAACAUAGGCAUUUCUCUUAUAGUAUCUUUUCUUUUCAGUAUGAUAUUUCAUAAAUUCUUUCUUACAGCUGUCAUGAUUUUACAAAUUUUGAGAUAAAUUUCAUGCACAGGGUUAGAAUUGGAAGCAGUUAACCUGUUUUGAUAAUUUAUUAUUAUAGUUAUAUUCAAAGAUAUAAAGGUAAAAAAAGAAUUAUAACAUUAUUUUUUUUCCUUUCUUUCUCGCUUGCAAACAGAUAGGAUUUUUUUUUCUUUAAACUUCCAAACAGAAAAUUAAAAAAAAAUUUCUCCGUACUAACAUUUUUUUUUUCUUUCUUCCUCGGACUCCCAAAAAGAUUCUUAGAGAAAACGACGCGGCAAGGCCAGUGAGCUAUGGUGGGCGCAGAGGAAGCGUGUGGGUAACUGAUCGAUGGGGUUUGAACCUUGACUCCCAGUGGCUUCGUCGACGGGGUUGGCGACUCUUUGGUUUGUGCGAGUUUGGUGGGGUGGAAAGUUUCGGGGAAGGUGGAGGGACGGGGAGAAUGGGAGGGUCUGGGCCUUCUGGGAACGGUGGGAAGAAAGUGGUUGGGGUUGGGUUGUAGAAUAUAUGACAAGCGUAGACAUUAUCUUCUGCGUGAAAGAAUAACGAUCUUUUUUUUUUGGCGGCGACACUAACCAUUGGAUUCCGAACCUUCUUCUUACUCUGUUUAUAGAUAUCUCAUAGAGGCUAUUGGACAGUCU